UUCACGCGGGUCCAACAAAUCUAUAUCUGCAAAACUUGGUGCUGGGAAGCUAGCUGAGGUGGGUGACUGAUAUCUAAAUUAAUUUAAGCCUGGAUGUGCUGCAUGCAUGUUUCAACGCAUUCACCUCUUCUAUUGUAUUGUGUUCUAUUGUGCUUCCCAGUUCUAUCUGAUUUUUAUGUUCUAGUUUCAUCAACAAACUGAGGGAACCGCGAAUAUCUUGUCGACGAAAAGCAAUUCUAGCUGUUUUCGAGUGAGUCAUCUUCUUUCAAGGUAUGCCAAAUAGUCUCUUUGGUUUCACAUUCAAAUUCUAAAACCUAAGUAAGUUAAUAAUUAAAUGUUGCAAUACAUCGUCAUACUAGUUUGAUUUCUGCACAAUAAUAAGUACAAGUUAUUCAAGUUAUGCUAUUAUUAUCUAUUCCAGAAACUAAACCAUGGGGGGGGGCCGGGAAAACUUAGUUGUUAAUUAUGCCAAUUCCUUUCUUAUUUCUCAGUGGAAGAUUGGAAAAUAUUUCUCUCAAACAGCUCGCCAUUGCCUUCGAUAUCGAUACAAAGCCUCCUUCGAAAUAUUUUGUUGUUGUUGACAGAAUUCAUCUUUUUUCAGUUAGAAUUGUUGCAACAGAUCGACUAAAUAUAUAUUGAACAAAGUCUAACUGACUGUAUUAACUACCAUUAAUUCCAGAUCAGCAAUGCAUAUAUACUGGACAGCAGCUGCUGAGGCUUGUGAUAUUAUGGUGAUGUACGAUGUCCCAAAUCACUUUUGUGUUUUUUUCUCAUCGCCACCUUAAAUACGUGGAGUGCAUGCAUCACAAUUGUAGGACUAAUUCAAGAAUAGAUCUUGUUGAUAGUAAAUCGUCGGUAAAUUAAACCCUAUUCGCCCGUAGGCGAUUAGUUUUGAGUUCGAUACUCUAAUUCUAUUAUCAAAAGUUUGAUACUUAGGCCAACAUAUGCUAACAGUCUGCAAAGACAGAACCUUUCCUCAGCAUAUGAAUUUGGCCCUUACUCCAGGAAGACAAAACCGUUCUUCGCCAGCUUAAU
This 1035-nucleotide long non-coding RNA is filed under the name Prunus persica (peach). RNAcentral describes it as "long non-coding RNA (PPER_LNC005395)". Lineage: Eukaryota; Viridiplantae; Streptophyta; Magnoliopsida; Rosales; Rosaceae. The record is from RNAcentral.